Molecule: long non-coding RNA, 890 nt
Organism: Amphiprion ocellaris (clown anemonefish)
Lineage: Eukaryota; Metazoa; Chordata; Actinopteri; Pomacentridae
Exons: 2
Source: RefSeq, a predicted model, not a curated record
CUCCGGGCAGCUGCGGCGCAGUACAGCUGACAUCUCCUCUUCCUCCAUAAAAACCAGCUCCUCACUCCACUCCCUGCCAGACUGUAGCUUCAGCUCCUACAGUUGGUUUGGUCCCUGCACUUGUUGUUCCUGUGCUUCUCGUGCUUUUUCCAUUAAUAUCUUUCCUCUGUUUGCAGUCACCCGCUGGCUGCGCUGCCCAGUGCUACAUCCCUGCCCUGCCUCUGGACCCCCGGCCUUGCCCAGGAUUACCCUGACCCCCCUCUCUGGAUUUCCCCCCAGCUUUGUCCUCCUGCCACCUCUUGGACUCUCCCCGGCCCGUCUCUGGAUUCCCUCCAGCCUCACUCAGUGGACCAGCUCCCACCCCAGACAUUCUCCAGACCAACACAGCCACUCUCUGCUGCCAUCCAUACCACCGGUGCUGCGCUCCUGGCCCGUCGGUCUCUGGGAGCCUGUCUAUCCCUCGUCCAGCCCCGUUUUUUCUGCUGGCCGUGCUACCCAGAGCUGCUUCGUUCUGCGUUUUGUGCCAUUCCUGCAACACUCCAACACUAACCUCUAGAAGAGGUUAUUGGUCCUGCCUGCCUCAGCCCUGUCUACACUGCCCAACCUCCGAUUCUCCCCGCCUCUUGCUCUAGUGGAUCAAAUCCUUUGUUAAACCUUCACUGGUCUCUGCUGUGUCUGUGUACUCUCUGCUUGGGUUCAAGCUUGGCACCGUGACAGAAACUGCCGUGCUGCAUGUGGCACAUUAAGUUGAAUCUGUGCAGGGCACAAAGACAUGGGAAGAUUAUUGAGGCUUUCUAGGCAAACGUAGAGCUUAGUCUAUGCCUCUUCAUUUUUUUGUUUUAUUUAUAAUAUGUUGCAAUAAAUACUGAAAGCAUGUUGGUUCUCUUAAA